GGCUCUAUGGUCUAAUGGUUAUGACUUCUGCUUUACACGCAGACGGUUGAGAGUUCGAUCCUCUCUGGAGUCA
This 73-nucleotide transfer RNA is filed under the name Plicaturopsis crispa FD-325 SS-3. Its description in RNAcentral is "tRNA-Val (TAC) (tRNA-Val-TAC-1-1)". It matches the Rfam family "tRNA". From Rfam's summary of the family: Transfer RNA (tRNA) molecules are approximately 80 nucleotides in length. The record is from RNAcentral. Lineage: Eukaryota; Fungi; Basidiomycota; Agaricomycetes; Amylocorticiales; Amylocorticiaceae.